RNAcentral lists this ribosomal RNA (497 nucleotides) under uncultured bacterium. RNAcentral's name for it is "partial 16S ribosomal RNA". It matches the Rfam family "Bacterial small subunit ribosomal RNA", at positions 28 to 507 of the family's 1533-position model. The record is from RNAcentral.
GAUGAACGCUGGCGGCGUGCCUAAUACAUGCAAGUCGAGCGAACGGAAGAGAAGCUUGUUUUUCUGAUGUUAGCGGCGGACGGGUGAGUAACACGUGGACAACCUACCUAUAAGACUGGGAUAACUUCGGGAAACCGGAGCUAAUACCGGAUAAUAUUUUGAACCGAAUGGUUCAAAAGUGAAAGACGGUCUUGCUGUCCCUUAUAGAUGGACCGGCGCUGCAUUAGCGAGUUGGUAAGGUAACGGCUUACCAAGGCAACGAGGCAUAGCUGACCUGAGAGAGUGAUCGUCGACACUGGAACUGAGACACGGGCCAGACUCCUACGGGAAGAAGCAGUAGGGAAUCUUCCGCAAUGGGCGAAAGCCUGACGGAGCAACGCCGCGUGGGUGAUGAAGGUCUUCGGAUCGUAAAACUCUGUUAUUAGGGAAGAACAUAUGUGUAAGCAACUGUGCACGUCUUGACGGUACCUAAGCAGAAAGCAACGGCUAACUACGUG